UUUAAGGUCUAAUCUGCCCUAUGAGGAGUUAAAUGGCCGCGGUACUCUGACCGUGCAAAGGUAGCAUAAUAAUUAGUUUUUUAAUUGAAAGCUGGAAUGAAUGAUUGGACGAGAAAAUAGCUGUCUCAGAUUAAUUUUAUUAGAAAUUUAUUUUUAAGUAAAAAAGCUUAAAUUUUUUUAGAAGACGAGAAGACCCUAUAGAGUUUUAUUCAUAUUAAUAUAUUGAUUUUUUAGAAAUUUUUUAUUAAUAUAUUAAUAAGUAUUUUGUUGGGGCGAUAGAAAAAUAUAUUUAACUUUUUUUAUAUGAAAACAUUAAUUUAUGAUUUUUUGAUCCAUUAUUUAUGAUUAUAAGAUUAAAUUACCUUAGGGAUAACAGCGUAAUUUUUCUUUAGAGUUCUUAUCGAAAGAAAAGAUUGCGACCUCGAUGUUGGAUUAAAAUGAAUGUUUGGUGUAGGGGCUAAAUAAUUAGGUCUGUUCGACCUUUAGAAUUUUACAUGAUCUGAGUUUAAACCGGUGUGAGCCAGGUUGGUUUCUAUCUUUAAAUAGUUAAAAUAUUUUAGUACGAAAGGACCAAAUAUUUGUAAUAUUUAUUAUAUUUUGAUUAUUAUUA
RNAcentral lists this ribosomal RNA (610 nucleotides) under Hyposerica sp. BMNH 671474. Its description in RNAcentral is "partial 16S large subunit ribosomal RNA". It matches the Rfam family "Bacterial large subunit ribosomal RNA", at positions 1844 to 2731 of the family's 2925-position model. Lineage: Eukaryota; Metazoa; Arthropoda; Insecta; Coleoptera; Scarabaeidae. The record is from RNAcentral.